AGGCUCACCCCUUCACCCCCUCUGCAGAGCAGGCUCACCCCUUCACCCCUGGGCAGAGCAGGCUCACCCCUUCACCCCCUGGGCAGAGCAGGCUCACUUCUUCACCCCCCUGGGCAGAGCAGGCUCACCCCUUCACCCCCUGGGCAGAGCAGGGUCACCCCUUCACCCCCUGGGCAGAGCAGGCUCACCCCUUCACCCCCUGGGCAGAGCAGGCUCACUUCUUCACCCCCUGGGCAGAGCAGGCUCACCCCUUCACCCCCUGUGCAGAGCAGGAUCACUCCUUCACCCCAUGAGCAGAGCAGGUUCACUCCUUCACCCCUGGGCAGAGCAGGCUCACUCCUUCACCCCCUGGGCAGAGCAGGCUCACUCCUUCACCCCCUGGGCAGAGCAGGCUCACUCCUUCACCCCCUGGGCAGAGCAGGUUCACUCCUUCACCCCCUGGGCAGAGCAGGUUCACCCCUUCACCCCCUGGGCAGAGCAGGUUCACUCCUUCACCCCCUGGGCAGAGCAGGUUCACUCUUUCACCCCCUGGGCAGAGCAGGUUCA
Molecule: long non-coding RNA, 546 nt
Organism: Oncorhynchus tshawytscha (Chinook salmon)
Lineage: Eukaryota; Metazoa; Chordata; Actinopteri; Salmoniformes; Salmonidae
Source: Ensembl